This 2293-nucleotide long non-coding RNA is filed under the name Podarcis lilfordi (Lilford's wall lizard). Lineage: Eukaryota; Metazoa; Chordata; Lepidosauria; Squamata; Lacertidae. The record is from RNAcentral.
UGAACAGCUAUAGACACCUAUGACAACCAGUUGAGACAUCUUUCUCUUUGGGAUUGUGAGUAUGCGCUCCAACAGGGGAACUGGUAGAAGGGGAAUGAUCCAUGCAUGGGAUGGGGUGGAGGAAACAAAUAAAAAGAGGUUGUUGCUGGUGGUGAUGUUUUGUAUUGGAAGGGACACUGGGGGUCAUUUUGCCUAAUAAUAAUAAUAAUAAUAAUAAUAAUAAUAAUAAUAAUAAAUUAUUUAUACCCCACCCAUCUGGCUCGGUUUACCCAACCACUCUGGGCGGCUUUCAGCAAAAUAUUAAAAUACAAUAAUUCAUCAAAUAUUAAAAGCUUCUCUAAACAGGGCUACCUUCAGAUUUCUUCUAAACAUCAGAUAGUUGUUUGUUUCUUUGACAUCUGAUGGGAGGGCGUUCCACAGGGCAGGCGCCACCACCGAGAUAGCCCUCUGCCUGAUUCCCUGUAACCUCACUUCUUGCAGCGAGCAAGGGAACCGCCGGAAGCCCCUUGGUGCUGGGCUUCAGUGUCUGGGCAGAACGAUGGGGGUGGAGAUGCUCCUUCAGGUAUACUGGGCAGAGGCCGUUUAGGGCUUUAAAUGUCAGCACCAAUACUUUGAAUUGUAUUUGGAAAUGUACUGGGAGCCAAUGUAGCAAUCUUGCAACACAGGAAUCUUAACUUAAAUUGUGGUGCUCAGAAUUGGACAGAAUAUUCCAGGUGUGGUCUGACCAAGGCAGAAUAGAGUAGUACAGUGGUACCUCAGGUUAAGUACUUAAUUCAUUCUGGAGGUCUGUUCUUAACCUGAAACCGUUCUUAACCUGAAGCACCACUUUAGCUAAUGGGGCCUCCUGCUGCUGCUGCGCCGCCAGAGCACGAUUUCUGUUCUUAUCCUGAAGCAAAGUUCUAAACCUGAAGCACUACUUCUAGGUUAGCUGAGUGUGUAACCUGAAGCAUAUGUAACCUGAAGUGUAUGUAACCCGAGGUACCACUGUACUAUUACUUUCCUUGAUCUGGACACACUAGACUUCUGUUGAUGCUGCCUACAAUAGCACUGGCCUUUUUUGCUGCUGCAUCACACUGUUGACGCCUGUUAAGCUUGUGGUCUACUAAGACCCCUAGAUCUUUUUCACAUGUACUGCUAGUAAGUCUUUAUUCACUGCUGUAUUUUCAUCCAUGUUGUUUGUGUCAGGUGCCAUUGAGGAGUAUAUACAGAAAUCCUUCCCACGUAAGGAGUUCCCAUUUCCAGCCAAUCAUCACCUCAAGAUACUAAGUGUAUAUAGAAGAAGAGGAAAGCCAGACAGGAAGGCAAUGAAUGUCCUUUUUGGAUUCCACCUUUACACUGUUGCCGCAUUGUUCAUCACUGCAGGAGUUUGGCCUGUUUAUAGUGCCUUUCCGAAAGAAUUAGGUGAAAUACCCCAAGCCAUGAACUUGGCUUUUUGGCUCAAGGGAAGGAUUAGCAGUCUGAAUGAAGAAAUAUGUCAGAAGCUAGACACAUGUCAGAUGGGUUGGGAGGAAAUUCCUCUCGGUCUACCAGAAAUGACUCGCCAAGCGAAAUGCUUCCCUCCUGACUUCGAAAAGGAAACAUGCCUGGGGGUCCUUUCACGUGGGCUUUUCGUAUAUAGCACGUUUUUGAAAUAUUUAAAAGAAACUUUAUUUGCCAGUGAGCCACACGAAAGCAAUUAUUAUUGGAAAGCAAUAGGGAUCCUCGCAGGUAACUUGAAGUCACUGAUGAAAAAUCCUGAGACUGUCGAGUUUGUGGCUCCAGACUUGGAGGCACUGCUAGCAGAGCAGAGUAGCUCGACACCUACACUUAUCAGGCAUGUCAUAUUUAAAAGAUGUAUGUUGUUUCUAGAUGCAACUGUAAGGGCAUAUAUCUACAUUAAAAGCUCCUGACACAGUGCUCUGGAUGCCACUUACAAGAAGAAAAUGAUAGAGAAUUCACACUGUAGCCGACAAGAGCAGGAUGGGGCUGGAUUUCUUUUUUUUCCCUUUUCCUUUUUCUUUUACUAUUAGUAUUAUUUUCUCAUAACACAAUAAGAUUACAACUACAAAAGAAGAAGAGACAAAGCAUAGAAACAGAAAAGGGGACGAAUACAAUACAAUAGAAAUAAAGAGAGGAAAAAGAGGGAAGAGGAAGAGGAAAAGAAACAUUAACAAAAGAUAAGAAAGAAGAACUUCCAAUCUUCCAUCUGUCAGUUACAUAAAAAAGGAAAAUCUGAUUAUUUAAAGCCUUCAGUUCAUGCAUACAUACAUCUUUUCCACUUUCUGUUAAACAAUGUAUCUUUUAAGUCAAGGUG